CAGCAGCCGCGGUAAUACAGAGGGUGCGAGCGUUAAUCGGAUUUACUGGGCGUAAAGCGUGCGUAGGCGGCUUUUUAAGUCGGAUGUGAAAUCCCUGAGCUUAACUUAGGAAUUGCAUUCGAUACUGGGAAGCUAGAGUAUGGGAGAGGAUGGUAGAAUUCCAGGUGUAGCGGUGAAAUGCGUAGAGAUCUGGAGGAAUACCGAUGGCGAAGGCAGCCAUCUGGUUUAAUACUGACGCUGAGGUACGAAAGCAUGGGGAGCAAACAGGAUUAGAUACCCCCGUAGUCCCUGUCUCUUAUAC
RNAcentral lists this ribosomal RNA (301 nucleotides) under uncultured bacterium. RNAcentral describes it as "partial 16S ribosomal RNA". It matches the Rfam family "Bacterial small subunit ribosomal RNA", at positions 509 to 807 of the family's 1533-position model. The record is from RNAcentral.